This 460-nucleotide ribosomal RNA is filed under the name uncultured bacterium. Its description in RNAcentral is "partial 16S ribosomal RNA". It matches the Rfam family "Bacterial small subunit ribosomal RNA", at positions 338 to 795 of the family's 1533-position model. The record is from RNAcentral.
CCUACGUGUGGCAGCAGUGAGGAAUAUUGGUCAAUGGGCGCGAGCCUGAACCAGCCAAGUAGCGUGAAGGAUGACUGCCCUACGGGUUGUAAACUUCUUUUAUAAAGGAAUAAAGUGAGGCACGUGUGCCUUUUUGUAUGUACUUUAUGAAUAAGGAUCGGCAAACUCCGUGCCAGCAGCCGCGGUAAUACGGAGGAUCCGAGCGUUAUCCGGAUUUAUUGGGUUUAAAGGGAGCGUAGAUGGGUUGUUAAGUCAGUUGUGAAAGUUUGCGGUUCAACCGUAAAAUUGCAAUUGAUACUGGCAGUCUUGAGGACAGUUGAGGUAGGCGGAAUUCGUGGUGUAGCGGUGAAAUGCUUAGAUAUCACGAAGAACUCCGAUUGCGAAGGCAGCUUACUAAACUGCCACUGACAUUGAUGCUCGAAAGUGUGGGUAUCAAACAGGAUUAGAUACCCCAGUAGUC